Molecule: long non-coding RNA, 544 nt
Organism: Gadus chalcogrammus (walleye pollock)
Lineage: Eukaryota; Metazoa; Chordata; Actinopteri; Gadiformes; Gadidae
Exons: 3
Source: RefSeq, a predicted model, not a curated record
AAUAAUAAACUCAGCUGAAUAUUGCAUUUUUUAAGGUCACGUAUCUGUUCUAAAAAGGUGUUCAAAAAAUGCGAUGACGUCACACUGUCAGAGGUACUGCUUUACGGCAGUUUCUGAAUCACUUCGGCACUUCCGUUUUCCCCGCCACGUGGAGUGCUAGCUGAUAUCAGCUGACUGGAUGCUGGCUGUCGGCUGAUUAUCGGCUAUGUAGCCUAGCCAAUUUAUGGUGGCUAUUGAAAAGUAAAAGAACGGAAUAAUUUGAAGACUGCUCCAUCUAGCUCCCUCCACAGCCAGACACAGCAACGAUCCUCCAGCUCCAUUCAGGCCGUGAAGGUGGACAUCUUUCUCUGAGCUGCUUUGGCCGUUUGCUGUUUGCUCAGCCUCCUGUUCCUCUCACGGAUUUGCCCCCCGAGCCUGCACAUCACAAUUUCUUUUAUUGCUAUUGUUUACAAUAGAAUUGCAUGCUCAGGGUGUGAGCUGAAGAGGCUUUUGAACACCCCUAGACUGCCCAGAGCCCUCUCCAUUUUUUUGGUGAUCUGGGUGA